RNAcentral lists this ribosomal RNA (481 nucleotides) under uncultured bacterium. Its description in RNAcentral is "partial 16S ribosomal RNA". It matches the Rfam family "Bacterial small subunit ribosomal RNA", at positions 30 to 507 of the family's 1533-position model. The record is from RNAcentral.
AUUGAACGCUGGCGGCAUGCUUUACACAUGCAAGUCGAACGGCAGCGCGGGCUUCGGCCUGGCGGCGAGUGGCGAACGGGUGAGUAAUACAUCGGAACGUGCCCAGUGGGGGAUAACACCGCGACAACCGGCUUAUUACUGCAUCCGACCUGAGGGUGAAAGAGGCGGGUCUUCUGAUCACCCCCUAUUUGAGCAGCCGAUGACAGAUUAGCUAGUUGGUGGGGUAAAGGCCUACCAAGGCGACGAUCUGUAGCUGGUCUGAGAGGACGACCAGCCACACUGGGACUGAGACACGGCCCAGACUCCUACGGGAGGCAGCAGUGGGGAAUUUUGGACAAUGGGCGAAAGCCUGAUCCAGCAAUGCCGCGUGUGUGAUGAAGGCCUUCGGGUUGUAAAGCACUUUUGGCGGGAACGAAAAGGACUGUGCCAAUACCACGGUUCGAUGACGUUACCCGCAGAAUAAGCACCGGCUAACUCCGUG